Molecule: ribosomal RNA, 252 nt
Filed under: uncultured bacterium
Lineage: Bacteria
Description: partial 16S ribosomal RNA
Rfam family: Bacterial small subunit ribosomal RNA
Source: RNAcentral
UACAGAGGUCUCAAGCGUUGUUCGGAUUCAUUGGGCGUAAAGGGUGCGUAGGCGGCGCGGUAAGUCGGGUGUGAAAUCUCGGAGCUUAACUCCGAAACUGCAUUCGAUACUGCCGUGCUUGAGGACUGGAGAGGAGACUGGAAUUACGGUGUAGCGGUGAAAUGCGUAGAUAUCGUAAGGAAGACCAGUGGCGAAGGCGGGUCUCUGGACAGUUCCUGACGCUGAGGCACGAAGGUCAGGGGAGCAAACGGG